Molecule: small RNA, 126 nt
Filed under: Marmota monax (woodchuck)
Lineage: Eukaryota; Metazoa; Chordata; Mammalia; Rodentia; Sciuridae
Source: RNAcentral
GCUGGGCACAGUGGCUCACGCCUGUAAUCCCAGCAGCUUGGGAGGCUGAGAUAGGAGAAUUUCGAGUUCAAAGGCAGCCUCAGCAAUGGCAAGGUACUAAUGCAACUCCGAGAGACCCUGUCUCUA